This 476-nucleotide ribosomal RNA is filed under the name Neisseria animaloris. RNAcentral's name for it is "bacterial SSU rRNA". It matches the Rfam family "Bacterial small subunit ribosomal RNA", at positions 9 to 474 of the family's 1533-position model. The record is from RNAcentral. Lineage: Bacteria; Pseudomonadati; Pseudomonadota; Betaproteobacteria; Neisseriales; Neisseriaceae.
GAGUUUGAUCAUGGCUCAGAUUGAACGCUGGCGGCAUGCUUUACACAUGCAAGUCGAACGGCAGCACGGAGGAGAUUGCUCUUUUGGUGGCGAGUGGCGAACGGGUGAGUAAUACAUCGGAACGUACCGAGUAGUGGGGGAUAACUGUCCGAAAGGAUGGCUAAUACCGCAUAUUCUCUGAGGAGGAAAGCAGGGGACCUUCGGGCCUUGCGCUAUUUGAGCGGCCGAUGUCUGGUUAGCUAGUUGGUGGGGUAAAGGCCUACCAAGGCGACGAUCAGUAGCGGGUCUGAGAGGAUGAUCCGCCACACUGGGACUGAGACACGGCCCAGACUCCUACGGGAGGCAGCAGUGGGGAAUUUUGGACAAUGGGGGGAACCCUGAUCCAGCCAUGCCGCGUGUCUGAAGAAGGCCUUCGGGUUGUAAAGGACUUUUGUCAGGGAAGAAAAGCUUGAGGUUAAUACCCUUGAGUGAUGACG